AGCCACUGUAGCAAAUAACAGAACCCAAAGAGGGAGUCAUGGGAAUCUCAACUUGAAGCCAGUCGAUCAGAACUUCCGGAAGCCCAGACUUGAGACCGGGCUUAAUAUACACAAGGCCAUAGAGCUAGACCCAGGCCAUGGAGGAGCAUGGAGGACCGCAAUUCUAAAAGCUUUGCCAGCUUAAAAGUAAGUGCAUCCAGGAAGCAGCUGAAACUUCACGCAGAUUUGUGGAUAUAGACAUGAAGGGAAUAUGGCUUCCUUUGUAGUGAGUUCUGUCUGCAGAUGGACACUCAAACCAUGAAAAGCUCAGCCUACGCCGGGCAGUCGACAUCGUGGCUCCGGCCAGCAAUUCUUCCACUAGAUUUAAUGAGAGCGUGGAAGUCCCUGAACAACCUGAAGGCACAUUUGAGGAGAAGCACACACUCAGUCAGGGAAUGGAGCCAGAAUUUCAUCUGCUUGAGAUGGAAGUGAAGAAAUUUCUGGAGACUGGAGUGGAUUAUAGGAGAAAGUACCAGGGUUUAGCCUGUGCUUAAAAUGGAAAUUCCUCGCAUUCUCAUUUCAGCUUCUCUGAGGGAGGAAGGGCAUUCCUGAAACACAGCUGAGUAUGUAACAGGCCACGAACCUUGGUGACAACCAGGUAACAUCCUUGGUCAUAGAGGCUAUGUCGGUUUCGGUUACAGUGAUGCACUUUUAAACAGUUUAGGCCAUCGCUAAUAAGCUUCAAGUCUCAGCUUUUCUGUUUGUAAGUUAAAAAUUUGGAGGUAAAAAAUUAGUGCUUUCAUUUAUAGUACAUCACAAUAUUUCCAAGAAAUAGCCCGACAGGGAGAAACUUUCCUACAGUCACGAACCAUUUGACUCCUACAACUCCAUCUUUGGAGGCUGCCAGCAUGUUCUGAGUCCAGGGCAGAUCCGAUGAAUAAUUUUCCUGCUUCUCAUCCUAGAAUAUCUGCCUGCCUCACAGGAUCAAGUCCAAGCCCCAAACCUGCCAUUCAGGGACCUCAAUUCUGCAUCCUACCUACUGCUUCAGCUGAGGCUCCUGCGUGCGGUGCCUGGAACACGAGCAGCAGGGGCUGCCUCCGCACACCGGCGCGCGCACACCCGGUGUCUUUGCUCAUGCAGUCCUGGGGCCUAGGACGCCUCCUCCUGCUCUUCCUUGCCUUGCUCAUAUCUGCUCAUUCUUCAAUUCUUGGCUGGUAUCAUCUCUUCCAGGAAGCCUCCUCCUCCGGGUCUGUGUGCCCUGAUAGCUUGCUUCCUCUAUGUUAUUUUAUUAAAAAGAUCGGUUUAUGUGUA
This is a long non-coding RNA of Homo sapiens (human), 1290 nucleotides long. RefSeq lists it as uncharacterized. The transcript is spliced from 2 exons. NCBI's taxonomy places the organism in Eukaryota, Metazoa, Chordata, Mammalia, Primates, Hominidae. The record is from RefSeq and is a predicted model, not a curated record.